Molecule: ribosomal RNA, 253 nt
Filed under: uncultured bacterium
Lineage: Bacteria
Description: partial 16S ribosomal RNA
Rfam family: Bacterial small subunit ribosomal RNA
Source: RNAcentral
UACGAAGGGGGCUAGCGUUGUUCGGAAUUACUGGGCGUAAAGGGCGCGUAGGCGGUCCUUCAAGUCAGGCGUGAAAGCCCCGGGCUCAACCUGGGAACCGCGCUUGAGACUGGCGGGCUAGAGUUCGGGAGAGGAUGGUGGAAUUCCCAGUGUAGAGGUGAAAUUCGUAGAUAUUCGCAAGAACACCAGUGGCGAAGGCGGCUCACUGGCCCGAUACUGACGCUGAGGCACGAAAGCGUGGGGAGCAAACAGG